Molecule: ribosomal RNA, 482 nt
Filed under: uncultured bacterium
Lineage: Bacteria
Description: SSU rRNA
Rfam family: Bacterial small subunit ribosomal RNA
Source: RNAcentral
AGGACGAACGCUGGCGGCGUGCCUAACACAUGCAAGUGGAGCGACGAACCAGGCUUCGGCCUGGGGCAGAGCCGCGAACGGGUGAGUAACACGUGGGUAACCUGCCCUGAUGAUUGGGACAACCCGAGGAAACUCGGGCUAAUACCGAAUGUGCCCUCCGGCCUCAAGGCCGUUGGGGAAAGGAAGCUUCGGCCUCCGCAUCGGGAUGGGCCCGCGGCCCAUUAGCUUGUUGGUGAGGUAACGGCUCACCAAGGCAACGAUGGGUAGCUGGUCUGAGAGGACGAUCAGCCACACUGGGACUGAGACACGGCCCAGACUCCUACGGGAGGCAGCAGUGGGGAAUAUUGCGCAAUGGGCGAAAGCCUGACGCAGCGACGCCGCGUGGGGAUGAAGGCCUUCGGGUUGUAACCCUUUCGGCAGGGACGAAGCGAAGUGACGGUACCUGCAGAAGAAGCGCCGGCUAACUACGUGCCAGCAGCCGC